GCUGGAUUCAGUGAAAGUUCCAUCCUGCAGAAACCUGGGCACUAAUUGAGGAGCUGUUCCCGCUGCUGCCGGUGGGCCCCUCCCCCAGGCUUGACGUCUUGGGGGUGUUCUGGUCAGUUCUGCUGGCGUGUGAUGUGGUGGAUGACAGUGUGCUCAGGCCACCUGGUUUUGCGCUGAGCCUCCUGCUGUCUGGCUUUGUGUGGGAACAUGGACCAGUCCAUGGCCUAAAGGCUUCUUACCUCGAAGAUGGGCAGAACAAUAUCCACUUCCGGAACAUCACACAUGCCGUCAGAGCCCCUGGCGCCCCCACCUGAACGAGGCUCCCU
This 326-nucleotide long non-coding RNA is filed under the name Homo sapiens (human). RNAcentral's name for it is "HSALNT0224834". Lineage: Eukaryota; Metazoa; Chordata; Mammalia; Primates; Hominidae. The record is from RNAcentral.